Molecule: ribosomal RNA, 492 nt
Filed under: uncultured bacterium
Lineage: Bacteria
Description: partial 16S ribosomal RNA
Rfam family: Bacterial small subunit ribosomal RNA
Source: RNAcentral
AGUGAACGCUGGCGGUAGGCCUAACACAUGCAAGUCGAACGGCAGCACGGUAAGAGCUUGCUCUUACGGGUGGCGAGUGGCGGACGGGUGAGGAAUACAUCGGAAUCUACUUUUUCGUGGGGGAUAACGUAGGGAAACUUACGCUAAUACCGCAUACGACCUACGGGUGAAAGCAGGGGAUCUUCGGACCUUGCGCGAUUGAAUGAGCCGAUGUCGGAUUAGCUAGUUGGCGGGGUAAAGGCCCACCAAGGCGACGAUCCGUAGCUGGUCUGAGAGGAUGAUCAGCCACACUGGAACUGAGACACGGUCCAGACUCCUAAGGGAGGCAGCAGUGGGGAAUAUUGGACAAUGGGCGCAAGCCUGAUCCAGCCAUACCGCGUGGGUGAAGAAGGCCUUCGGGUUGUAAAGCCCUUUUGUUGGGAAAGAAAAGCAGCAGGUUAAUACCCCGCGGUUCUGACGGUACCCAAAGAAUAAGCACCGGCUAACUUCGUG